This is a non-coding RNA of Homo sapiens (human), 148 nucleotides long. It matches the Rfam family "Metazoan signal recognition particle RNA". Rfam says of the family: The signal recognition particle (SRP) is a universally conserved ribonucleoprotein. It is involved in the co-translational targeting of proteins to membranes. The eukaryotic SRP consists of a 300-nucleotide 7S RNA and six proteins: SRPs 72, 68, 54, 19, 14, and 9. The record is from Rfam. Lineage: Eukaryota; Metazoa; Chordata; Mammalia; Primates; Hominidae.
GCCGGGUGUGGUGGCGCACGCCUGUAGUCCCAGCUACUCAGGAGGCUGAGGCAGGAGAAUUGCUUGAACCCGGGAGGCAGAGGUUCCUGUGAGCCGAGAUCGUGCCACCGCACUCCAGCCUGGGCAACAGAGCAAGAUUCUGUCUCCA